UGCCAUUGAGAUGAGAAGAGAAAAGAUAAGGUAACAACAGCGUCCACCUUCCUUCGCCAUUCGCGUUCUUCGCCGUUCACCUUCCUUUGCCGUUUGCGUUCGCAUUCCCAUUCGCGUUCGUGUAGAAGCCACUUUGCUCUGCUUCAAACUCUGCGGCGGAACUGCCCUCCUUCGUUGCCGAUAUUAUGAUAGAAUUAUUAAAAACAUUGAGAGGGGAGGCUAGAAUUUUACGUAAAGAUGAAAUCAAGAAAGCUAUUGGGAAGAGGUUGGAUUGAUACAAGAAUUCAUGCCUAGAGUUAAAGACAUAGUAUGGACAAAAACAAAGAGAAGUUACACAAGGAAGAAUGUAACAGUUUCAUGAUAUGAGGAGUUAAGUAAAUUUUCUUGUGAAUUAUCAAGAGGUCAAUUGCCAUCCGAUUUUUUUAAUGAGGUAAGAUAAGAAUAUACAUUAUACUUAACUUUAUGGACUUACAUACUUAAUUUUCAUUAUCACUAACUUCUUCUAAAAUGGUUGUAGUUUGUAAUCAUAAUCUCUUAAUACUUGUUGAUUUGUUAAGUAUCCUAAAAUAUUCUCUAAAAUAUUUUUUUUUUAUAUUCUCUAAUAAGACCAUCUUCUACGAGUCAUGAACCUCAACAACAUAGAUCAUCCAACAUUUAAAGGAGUUUUACGCAUUGUUAGCUUUACAUGUUUGGAUUAAGUUGAGAUUUUUUGAAUUUACAUGUUAUAGAUUAUGAUUAUGUAAAACUUAGAUUUCAACUUUUGGAAUUAUUUUUGUAAAACUUGUGGA
Long non-coding RNA from Arachis duranensis, 788 nucleotides. RefSeq lists it as uncharacterized. The record is from RefSeq and is a predicted model, not a curated record. The transcript has 3 exons. NCBI's taxonomy places the organism in Eukaryota, Viridiplantae, Streptophyta, Magnoliopsida, Fabales, Fabaceae.